AGAUUCAACGACUCCGUUUGUGGCAACUGCUGAUAAUGAGAUUGAGGUCAAAAGAGUCUGAAAAAUCGAAACUUCGGGAAAAUUU
Non-coding RNA from Caenorhabditis elegans, 85 nucleotides. The record is from Ensembl. NCBI's taxonomy places the organism in Eukaryota, Metazoa, Nematoda, Chromadorea, Rhabditida, Rhabditidae.